Molecule: ribosomal RNA, 253 nt
Filed under: uncultured bacterium
Lineage: Bacteria
Description: partial 16S ribosomal RNA
Rfam family: Bacterial small subunit ribosomal RNA
Source: RNAcentral
UACGUAGGUGGCGAGCGUUGUCCGGAUUUACUGGGCGUAAAGGGAGCGUAGGCGGGCUUUUAAGUGAGAUGUGAAAUACUCGGGCUCAACUUGAGUGCUGCAUUUCAAACUGGAAGUCUAGAGUGCAGGAGAGGAGAAUGGAAUUCCUAGUGUAGCGGUGAAAUGCGUAGAGAUUAGGAAGAACACCAGUGGCGAAGGCGAUUCUCUGGACUGUAACUGACGCUGAGGCACGAAAGCGUGGGGAGCAAAUAGG